AAGUAGCGUCAGGGAUAGGAGCGGCAUCCUUUUGUGGAGCCUUGGCGGAACAAAAGAUAUAGCGGAUAGCGCGACCGUGC
Molecule: small RNA, 80 nt
Filed under: Moheibacter sediminis
Lineage: Bacteria; Pseudomonadati; Bacteroidota; Flavobacteriia; Flavobacteriales; Weeksellaceae
Description: Flavo-1 RNA
Rfam family: Flavo-1 RNA
Source: Rfam by way of RNAcentral